GAUGCCGUGGCCAAGUGGUUAAGGCGGUGGACUGCAAAUCCGCUAUUCAUCAGUUCGAAUCUGAUCGGCAUCU
This 73-nucleotide transfer RNA is filed under the name Candidatus Haliotispira prima. Its description in RNAcentral is "Spirochaetaceae bacterium SP-2023 tRNA-Cys". It matches the Rfam family "tRNA". From Rfam's summary of the family: Transfer RNA (tRNA) molecules are approximately 80 nucleotides in length. Their secondary structure includes four short double-helical elements and three loops (D, anti-codon, and T loops). Lineage: Bacteria; Pseudomonadati; Spirochaetota; Spirochaetia; Spirochaetales; Spirochaetaceae. The record is from RNAcentral.